RNAcentral lists this ribosomal RNA (253 nucleotides) under uncultured bacterium. RNAcentral's name for it is "partial 16S ribosomal RNA". It matches the Rfam family "Bacterial small subunit ribosomal RNA", at positions 524 to 776 of the family's 1533-position model. The record is from RNAcentral.
UACAGAGGGGGCAAGCGUUGUUCGGAAUUACUGGGCGUAAAGGGCGCGUAGGCGGCCUUCUAAGUCGAACGUGAAAUCCCCGGGCUCAACCCGGGAACUGCGUCCGAUACUGGAAGGCUUGAAUCCGGGAGAGGGAUGCGGAAUUCCAGGUGUAGCGGUGAAAUGCGUAGAUAUCAGGAGGAACACCAAUUGCGAAGGCAGCUCGCUGGGACGUUACUGACGCUGAGACGCGAAAGCGUGGGGAGCAAACAGG